RNAcentral lists this ribosomal RNA (274 nucleotides) under uncultured bacterium. Its description in RNAcentral is "partial 16S ribosomal RNA". It matches the Rfam family "Bacterial small subunit ribosomal RNA", at positions 523 to 796 of the family's 1533-position model. The record is from RNAcentral.
AUACGGAGGGUGCAAGCGUUAUUCGGAAUCACUGGGCGUAAAGGACGCGUAGGCGGGUUGGCAAGUCAGAUGUGAACUCCUACAGCUUAACUGUAGAACUGCAUUUGAAACUGCUAACCUAGAGUAUGGGAGGGGGAGAUGGAAUUAGUGGUGUAGGGGUAAAAUCCGUAGAUAUCACUAGGAAUACCGAAAGCGAAGGCGAUCUCCUGGAACAUAACUGACGCUUAGGCGUGAAAGCGUGGGGAGCAAACAGGAUUAGAUACCCUAGUAGUCC